UACGUAGGGGGCAAGCGUUGUCCGGAAUCAUUGGGCGUAAAGAGCGUGUAGGCGGCUCGGUAAGUCCGCUGUGAAAGUCCAGGGCUCAACCCUGGAAAGCCGGUGGAAACUGUCAAGCUUGAGUCCGGAAGAGGAGAGUGGAAUUCCUGGUGUAGCGGUGAAAUGCGCAGAUAUCAGGAAGAACACCCGUGGCUAAGGCGGCUCUCUAGUACGGUACUGACGCUGAGACGCGAAAGCGUGGGGAGCGAACAGG
RNAcentral lists this ribosomal RNA (253 nucleotides) under uncultured bacterium. RNAcentral describes it as "partial 16S ribosomal RNA". It matches the Rfam family "Bacterial small subunit ribosomal RNA", at positions 524 to 776 of the family's 1533-position model. The record is from RNAcentral.